Non-coding RNA from Pelobates cultripes (western spadefoot toad), 452 nucleotides. NCBI's taxonomy places the organism in Eukaryota, Metazoa, Chordata, Amphibia, Anura, Pelobatidae. The record is from the annotation of a GenBank genome assembly.
AAAAAUUAGGGUGGGCAAUGCAGUCAAUUCAAUGUCAGUCACUAAUUGAUUUCUUAUAACUAUCACGCCAGAGAUGCAUUUGAUCCAUCUUCUCCAACGAUUAUGCCAUAUGUAUUUGGAUCUCUGAUCUAUCAAGGAUGGCUGAAAAUAUCAGAUAAACAGCUACAGCGAUGAGCACAAAUAAUUGACAGAGUGAAGCAAGCCAAUAUGACUGUAGCAGAGAAUCAUGAAACACCCCAUUGUUUAUGCAGCUCAUCCCCAUGUUCUAUAGACAAAUUGUUUUGCUUCCUACUUGUUAUUUUCUUGUACAAUCUGUUCAAAACCACCUGUUUCUCUUCUUUUCCAGAUUCAGUCACACAGUAUUCACACCAUUCAUAGUCUCGUGAUUUAAUUUUUAAUUUAAAAUGUUGAGUGCCUGCUUAUUUUUCAUAGAAGGUCACUUUAUUCUUCAC